This 397-nucleotide ribosomal RNA is filed under the name uncultured Glomeromycotina. RNAcentral's name for it is "SSU rRNA". It matches the Rfam family "Eukaryotic small subunit ribosomal RNA", at positions 569 to 972 of the family's 1831-position model. The record is from RNAcentral. Lineage: Eukaryota; Fungi; Glomeromycota.
AGCAGCUGCGGUAAUUCCAGCUCCAAUAGCGUAUAUUAAAGUUGUUGCAGUUAAAAAGCUCGUAGUUGAAUUUCGGGAUCAAUUUAUUGGUCGUGCAAUAGUACGUACUGGUCAAAUUGAUUCCUACCUUCUGACGAACCACGAUGUCAUUAAUUUGGUGUCGCGGGGAAUCAGGACUGUUACUUUGAAAAAUUAGAGUGUUUAAAGCAGGCUCGCGCUUGAAUACAUUAGCAUGGAAUAAUGAAAUAGGACGUUUGAUUCUAUUUUGUUGGUUUCUAGGAUCGACGUAAUGAUUAAUAGGGAUAGUUGGGGGCAUUAGUAUUCAAUUGUCAGAGGUGAAAUUCUUGGAUUUAUUGAAGACUAACUACUGCGAAAGCAUUUGCCAAGGAUGUUUUCA